Sus scrofa (pig) is the source of this 10162-nucleotide RNA transcript. It is a transcript of the gene named filamin B, with no coding region annotated. The record is from RefSeq and is a predicted model, not a curated record. Lineage: Eukaryota; Metazoa; Chordata; Mammalia; Artiodactyla; Suidae.
UGACAAUUCAUACGAGUUUAAUUAAUAUGAAAAGUAAAAUGUCCAUUACUUUCACGAUGUCCUCCAGGACCUAACAUAGUGCCUGGCACAGCAGGAACUCAAUAAAAAUCCUUAUGGAAUCUUAUUGAACCUAGAUGGAAAAAGUACCUUCUGCACCAACUCCAUUCCCUGUGAUCUACGCCGUCGUCCCUGUCCAUUCCGUCCAGCCCAGAUCCCUACUUCUGCAAGUGCCCUCACUAUGGGACCUGGUGACCUUCCUCUUGAGUAGCCGGACAUCUCCUGCCUAGCUUUCUUCUGCAGAGGCAAUGAACACCGAGCGCCGGUCCCGGACGCCUUGCAGCUCGCAGGGCGCAGUGCUCAUUUGGAGCUGCAGGGGGCAAGCGUGACCCGGGAACUCCCGCCAGAGGGUCGGGACGGGGCGGAGCUUCAGGGGCGGGUCGUCUCAGUGCGCAGGCGCGGGGCCAGGCGCCUCGCGCGGCCAGGGGCAGGCGGGCGCAGAGCAGUCCCGGCCGCGGCUUUGGUAGCAGCGAGUUCGAGCCCCGCUCCCGCUCCGCUUUGGUUUUCGCUCCCCCGGCCCUUGGGCCUCCCGACGCCAGUCCCCGGCAGCUCACUGCUCAUAGCGCUCUCCCCGCCGCCAAGAUGCCGGUAACCGAGAAGGAUCUGGCGGAGGACGCGCCUUGGAAGAAGAUCCAGCAGAACACGUUCACGCGUUGGUGCAACGAGCACCUCAAGUGCGUGAACAAACGCAUCGGAAACCUGCAGACCGACUUGAGCGACGGGCUUCGGCUCAUCGCGCUGCUGGAGGUGCUUAGCCAGAAGCACAUGUACCGCAAGUACCACCAGCGGCCCACCUUCCGCCAGAUGCAGCUUGAGAACGUGUCCGUGGCGCUCGAGUUCCUGGACCGUGAGAACAUCAAGCUCGUGUCCAUCGACAGCAAAGCCAUCGUGGAUGGGAACCUAAAGCUCAUCUUGGGCCUAGUAUGGACGCUGAUCCUCCAUUACUCCAUCUCCAUGCCCGUGUGGGAGGAUGAAGGGGACGAUGAUGCCAAGAAGCAGACACCAAAGCAGAGGCUGCUGGGGUGGAUUCAGAACAAGAUCCCUUACUUGCCCAUCACCAACUUCAACCAGAACUGGCAGGACGGCAAAGCCCUGGGAGCCCUGGUAGACAGCUGUGCUCCAGGUCUGUGCCCAGACUGGGAAUCCUGGGACCCAAGAAAGCCUGUGGAUAAUGCACGAGAAGCCAUGCAGCAGGCAGACGACUGGCUUGGUGUCCCACAGGUCAUCACUCCUGAAGAAAUUAUUCACCCAGAUGUAGAUGAGCACUCGGUAAUGACUUACCUGUCCCAGUUCCCCAAAGCCAAGCUCAAGCCAGGGGCUCCUCUUAAACCCAAACUCAACCCCAAGAAGGCCAGGGCCUAUGGCAGAGGAAUCGAGCCCACUGGAAACAUGGUGAAGCAGCCGGCCAAGUUCACUGUGGACACCAUCAGCGCGGGGCAAGGAGACGUUAUGGUGUUUGUUGAGGACCCCGAAGGGAACAAAGAGGAGGCACACGUGACCCCCGAUAGCGACAAGAACAAGACAUACUCUGUGGAGUAUCUGCCCAAGGUCACCGGACUGCACAAAGUCACAGUCCUCUUUGCAGGACAGCACAUCUCCAAGAGCCCAUUUGAAGUGAAUGUUGACAAAGCCCAAGGGGAUGCCAGUAAAGUCACCGCAAAAGGCCCAGGCUUGGAAGCUUCCGGGAACAUCGCCAAUAAGCCCACCUAUUUUGACAUCUACACAGCAGGUGCUGGCGUGGGUGACAUUGGUGUGGAGGUGGAAGAUCCCCAGGGGAAGAACACCGUGGAGUUACUCGUGGAAGACAAAGGAAACCAGGUGUAUCGAUGUGUGUACAAACCCAUGCAGCCUGGCCCCCACGUGAUCAAGGUCUCCUUUGCUGGAGACACCAUUCCCAAGAGUCCCUUUGUGGUGCAAGUUGGGGAAGCCUGCAAUCCAAACGCCUGCCGGGCCAGUGGCCGAGGCCUGCAGCCUAAAGGCAUUCGUAUCCGGGAAACUGCAGACUUCAAGGUUGACACCAAAGCUGCUGGAAGUGGAGAGCUCGGUGUAACCGUGAAGGGUCCUAAGGGUCUGGAGGAGCUGGUGAAGCAGAAAGGCUUUCUGGAUGGAGUCUAUUCCUUUGAGUAUUACCCCAGCACCCCAGGGAAAUACAGCAUCGCCAUCAUGUGGGGGGGACACCACAUUCCAAAGAGUCCCUUUGAAGUUCAAGUUGGCCCUGAAGCAGGCAUGCAGAAAGUCCGUGCAUGGGGCCCUGGCCUCCACGGAGGGAUUGUUGGGCGGUCGGCUGACUUUGUGGUGGAAUCCAUUGGUUCUGAAGUGGGGUCUCUGGGGUUUGCCAUUGAAGGCCCCUCCCAGGCAAAGAUAGAGUAUGACGACCAGAAUGAUGGCUCGUGUGAUGUCAAGUACUGGCCCAAGGAGCCAGGUGAAUAUGCGGUUCACAUCAUGUGUGACGAUGAAGACAUCAAGGACAGUCCCUACAUGGCCUUCAUCCACCCGGCCUCAGGAGACUACAACCCGGAUCUGGUGCAAGCAUACGGACCAGGUUUGGAGAAAUCUGGCUGCAUUGUCGACAACCUGGCAGAGUUCACUGUAGAUCCUAAGAAUGCUGGAAAAGCUCCCUUAAAGAUACUGGCUCAGGAUGGGGAAGGCCAGCCCAUUGACAUCCAGAUGAAGAGCCGGAUGGAUGGCACAUACGCCUGCUCGUACACCCCAGUUAAGCCCAUCAAGCACACCAUUGCUGUGGUCUGGGGAGGUGUCAACAUCCCGAACAGCCCUUACAGGGUCAACAUCGGGCAGGGUAGCCAUCCCCAGAAGGUCAAAGUGUUUGGGCCAGGAGUGGAGCGAAGUGGACUGAAGGCAAAUGAGCCUACUCACUUCACAGUGGACUGUACCGAGGCUGGGGAAGGUGAUGUCAGUGUUGGCAUUAAAUGUGAUGCCCGAGUGUUAAGUGAGGAUGAGGAAGAUGUGGAUUUUGACAUUAUUCACAACGCCAAUGACACAUUUACAGUAAAGUAUGUGCCUCCUGCUGCUGGGCGAUACACAAUCAAAGUCCUCUUUGCCUCUCAGGAAAUCCCCGCCAGCCCUUUCCGAGUCAGAGUUGACCCUUCCCACGAUGCCAGCAAAGUGAAGGCAGAAGGUCCAGGACUCAGCAAAUCAGGUGUGGAAAACGGGAAACCGACCCACUUUACUGUCUACACCAAAGGGGCUGGAAAAGCCCCACUCAACGUGCAGUUCAGCAGCCCCCUUCCUGGCGACGCGGUGAAGGAUUUGGAUGUCAUCGAUAAUUAUGACUACUCCCACACCGUCAAAUACACUCCCACCCAGCAGGGCACCAUGCAGGUUCUGGUUACAUAUGGCGGCGAUCCUAUCCCCAAAAGCCCUUUCACUGUGGGUGUGGCUGCUCCACUGGAUCUGAGCAGGAUCAAAGUCAAUGGGCUGGAAAACAGAGUCGAAGUUGGGAAGGAUCAGGAGUUCGCCAUUGAUACCAGAGGGGCUGGAGGCCAGGGGAAGCUGGACGUGACGAUCCUGAGCCCCUCGAGGAAGGUUGUGCCAUGUCUGGUGGCGCCUGUGGCGGGCCGGGAGAGCAGCACGGCCAAGUUCAUACCCCGAGAGGAGGGGCUGUACGCUGUCGAUGUGACCUACGAUGGACACCCUGUGCCUGGGAGCCCUUACAUGGUGGAGGCCUCACUGCCGCCUGAUCCCACCAAGGUGAAGGCGCAUGGUCCCGGCCUUGAAGGCGGUCUUGUGGGGAAGCCUGCUGAGUUCACCAUCGACACCAAAGGAGCUGGAACUGGAGGUUUGGGCUUAACCGUGGAAGGUCCAUGCGAGGCCAAAAUCGAAUGCUCGGACAAUGGUGAUGGGACCUGCUCCGUCUCCUACCUGCCCACAAAGCCCGGGGAGUACUUCGUCAACAUCCUCUUUGAAGAAGUCCACAUACCUGGUUCUCCUUUCAAAGCCGACAUUGAAAUGCCAUUCGACCCCUCUAAAGUCGUGGCGUCAGGCCCAGGGCUUGAGCAUGGGAAAGUGGGCGAGGCCGGGCUGCUUAGCGUGGACUGUUCAGAAGCGGGGCCAGGGACCCUGGGCCUGGAGGCUGUCUCCGACUCGGGAGCGAAAGCAGAAGUCUGUAUUGAGAACAACAAAGACGGCACCUACGCGGUGACCUACGUGCCCCUGACUGCGGGCAUGUACACACUGACCAUGAAGUAUGGUGGUGAACUGGUGCCGCACUUCCCCGCCAGGGUCAAGGUGGAGCCUGCCGUGGACACCAGCCGGGUCAAAGUCUUUGGGCCAGGAAUUGAAGGAAAAGAUGUGUUUCGUGAAGCCACCACCGACUUCACGGUCGACUCACGACCCCUGACGCAGGUUGGGGGCGACCACAUCAAGGCCCACAUUGCCAACCCCUCGGGGGCCUCCACGGAGUGUUUCGUCACAGACAAUGCUGAUGGGACCUACCAGGUGGAAUACACACCCUUCGAGAAGGGCCUCCAUGUAGUGGAGGUGACAUACGAUGAUGUGCCCAUCCCAAACAGUCCCUUCAAAGUGGCUGUAACCGAAGGCUGCCAGCCAUCCCGGGUUCAAGCUCAAGGACCUGGAUUGAAAGAAGCCUUUACCAACAAACCCAAUGUCUUCACCGUGGUUACCAGAGGGGCAGGAAUUGGGGGUCUUGGCAUAACUGUUGAGGGACCGUCUGAGUCGAAGAUAAACUGCAGAGACAACAAAGAUGGCAGCUGUAGUGCUGAGUACAUCCCCUUUGCCCCAGGAGAUUAUGAUGUGAAUAUCACCUAUGGAGGAGCCCACAUCCCUGGCAGCCCCUUCAGGGUUCCCGUGAAGGAUGUUGUGGACCCCAGCAAGGUCAAGAUUGCUGGCCCUGGCCUGGGCUCCGGUGUCCGAGCUCGCAUCUUACAGUCCUUCACGGUGGACAGCAGCAAGGCUGGCCUGGCCCCCCUGGAAGUGAGAGUCCUGGGCCCACGAGCUGUUGAGACGGAUUCCCAGUCAAGGCGCAGCCCCUUGAAAGCCAUUUCAGAGUUCUUUAAACGUGACCUGAAGGGUGACUUUAUGGAGACAGGCCUGGUGGAGCCAGUGAAUGUGGUGGACAAUGGGGAUGGCACACAUACGGUGACCUACACCCCAUCCCAGGAGGGGCCUUAUAUGGUCUCUGUUAAAUAUGCUGAUGAAGAGAUCCCUCGUAGUCCCUUUAAGGUCAAGGUCCUUCCCACGUAUGAUGCCAGCAAAGUGACUGCCAGUGGCCCUGGCCUCAGUACCUAUGGUGUGCCUGCCAGCCUGCCUGUGGAGUUUGCAAUCGAUGCCAGAGAUGCCGGGGAAGGCCUGCUUGCUGUUCAGAUAACGGACCAAGAGGGAAAACCCAAAAGGGCCAUUGUUCACGACAAUAAAGAUGGCACAUAUGCCGUCACCUACAUCCCCGACAAGACUGGACGCUAUAUGAUUGGGGUCACCUAUGGCGGGGAUGACAUCCCCUUGUCUCCCUAUCGCAUCCGGGCCACACAGACAGGCGAUGCCAGCAAGUGCCUGGCCACAGGUCCUGGCAUUGCCUCCACUGUGAAAACCGGCGAGGAAGUGGGCUUUGUGGUUGACGCCAAGACUGCCGGGAAAGGCAAAGUGACCUGCACGGUUCUGACCCCAGACGGCACUGAGGCUGAGGCUGAUGUCAUUGAGAAUGAGGAUGGCACCUAUGACAUUUUCUACACGGCCGCCAAGCCAGGCACCUAUGUCAUCUACGUGCGCUUCGGUGGCGUUGAUAUUCCCAACAGCCCCUUCACUGUCAUGGUCACCGAAGAGGCCUAUGUCCCAGUGAGUGACAUGAAUGGCCUAGGAUUUAAGCCUUUCGACCUGGUCAUUCCAUUUGCAGUCAGGAAAGGAGAAAUCACCGGAGAGGUCCACAUGCCUUCCGGGAAGACAGCUACACCUGAGAUCGUGGACAACAAGGAUGGCACGGUCACCGUCAGAUAUGCCCCCACCGAGGUCGGGCUCCACGAGAUGCACAUCAAAUACAUGGGCAGCCAUAUCCCUGAGAGCCCACUCCAGUUCUACGUGAACUACCCCAACAGCGGGAGCGUUUCUGCGUAUGGCCCAGGCCUGGUGUACGGCGUGGCCAACAAAACCGCCACCUUCACCAUCGUCACUGAGGACGCAGGAGAAGGUGGCCUGGACCUGGCAAUUGAGGGACCCUCAAAGGCCGAAAUCAGCUGCAUUGACAACAAAGAUGGGACGUGCACAGUGACCUAUCUGCCCACCCUGCCGGGUGACUACAGCAUUCUGGUCAAGUACAAUGACAAGCACAUCCCUGGCAGCCCCUUCACAGCCAAGAUCACAGACGACAGCAGGCGGUGCUCUCAGGUGAAGCUGGGCUCUGCUGCUGACUUCCUGCUCGACAUCAGCGAGACUGACCUUAGCACACUGACGGCUAGCAUCAAGGCCCCGUCCGGCCGCGACGAGCCCUGUCUCCUGAAAAGGCUGCCCAACAAUCACAUUGGCAUCUCUUUCAUCCCCCGGGAGGUGGGUGAACACCUGGUCAGCAUCAAGAAGAAUGGCAACCACGUGGCCAACAGCCCAGUGUCCAUCAUGGUGGUACAAUCAGAGAUCGGGGAUGCCCGAAGAGCCAAAGUCUACGGCCGUGGCCUGUCGGAAGGCCGGACUUUCGAGAUGUCUGAAUUUAUCGUGGACACAAGGGAUGCAGGUCUGUUGGGGUGUUCCAGGGGAAAAAGCCCAGAGCUUCGGAACUGGCUUCUUUUUGCUCUGAUUGCUUCAUUUUCUCAUCCUGACAACUUUCUUUUCUCUCUGAGCAUCCUUCAAACUAUGGAUCCUUGGAGUUUCCGUCGUGGCUCAGCGGAAAUGAAUCUGACUAGGAACCAUGAGGUUGCGGGUUUGAUUCCUGGCCUCGCUCAGUGGAUUAAGGAUCCAGUGUUGCUGGAAGCCAUGGUUAUGGUGGUAUAUCCUUGGCGGUGGAAGGCCCCAGCAAAGUGGACAUCCAGACAGAGGACCUGGAGGACGGCACUUGCAAGGUCUCCUACUUCCCCACCGUGCCUGGAGUUUACAUCGUCUCCACCAAAUUUGCUGACGAGCACGUGCCUGGGAGCCCAUUUACUGUGAAGAUCAGUGGGGAGGGAAGAGUCAAAGAGAGCAUCACCCGUACCAGUCGGGCUCCAUCUGUAGCCACUGUCGGAAGCAUCUGUGACCUGAACCUGAAAAUCCCAGAAAUCGACAGCAGUGACAUGUCAGCGCAUGUCACCAGCCCCUCUGGCCGCGUGACUGAGGCAGAGAUUGUGCCUGUGGGGAAGAACUCUCACUGCGUCCGGUUUGUGCCCCAGGAGAUGGGCGUGCACACUGUCAGCGUCAAAUACCGUGGCCAGCACGUCACUGGCAGCCCCUUCCAGUUCACUGUGGGGCCGCUGGGCGAGGGGGGCGCCCACAAGGUCAGGGCAGGGGGCCCUGGCCUGGAGCGAGGAGAAGCAGGAGUCCCAGCUGAGUUCAGCAUCUGGACCCGGGAGGCAGGCGCCGGAGGCCUCUCCAUCGCUGUCGAGGGCCCCAGUAAGGCUGAGAUUACAUUCGAUGACCAUAAAAACGGAUCAUGUGGUGUGUCUUAUAUUGCCCAAGAGCCUGGUAACUACGAGGUGUCUAUCAAGUUCAAUGAUGAGCACAUCCCCGAAAGUCCCUACCUGGUACCAGUGAUCGCACCCUCUGACGACGCCCGCCGCCUCACUGUUCUGAGCCUUCAGGAAUCGGGAUUAAAAGUUAACCAGCCAGCCUCCUUUGCUAUAAGGUUGAAUGGGGCAAAAGGCAAGAUUGAUGCAAAGGUACACAGCCCCUCUGGAGCCGUGGAGGAAUGUCACGUGUCUGAGCUGGAGCCAGAUAAGUAUGCUGUUCGCUUCAUUCCGCACGAGAAUGGUGUCCACACGAUCGACGUCAAGUUCAACGGGAGCCACGUGGUUGGAAGUCCCUUCAAAGUGCGCGUUGGGGAGCCAGGACAAGCGGGGAACCCUGCCCUGGUGUCUGCCUAUGGCGCGGGGCUCGAGGGAGGCACCACAGGUAUUCAAUCUGAAUUUUUCAUCAACACCACCCGAGCAGGGCCAGGGACAUUAUCUGUCACCAUUGAAGGCCCAUCCAAGGUUAAAAUGGAUUGCCAGGAAACCCCAGAAGGGUACAAAGUCAUGUACACCCCCAUGGCUCCUGGAAACUACCUGAUUGGCGUCAAAUACGGUGGGCCCAACCACAUCGUUGGCAGUCCUUUCAAGGCCAAGGUGACAGGCCAGCGUCUGGUCAGCCCCGGCUCGGCCAAUGAAACCUCAUCCAUCCUGGUGGAGUCAGUGACCAGGUCCUCAACGGAGACCUGCUAUAGCGCCAUCCCCAAGGCAUCCUCAGAUGCCAGCAAGGUGACCUCCAAGGGAGCAGGACUCUCAAAGGCCUUCGUGGGCCAGAAGAGCUCCUUCCUGGUGGAUUGCAGCAAAGCCGGUUCCAACAUGCUGUUGAUCGGGGUCCAUGGGCCCACCACCCCCUGCGAAGAGGUCUCCAUGAAGCAUGUGGGCAACCAGCAAUACAACGUCACAUACGUCGUCAAGGAGAAGGGGGAUUACGUUCUGGCCGUGAAGUGGGGAGAGGAGCACAUCCCUGGCAGCCCCUUCCAUGUCACAGUGCCUUAAAACAGUUGUCGUCACAUCCUGGGAGGAGUUGUAGUGGUUGCUUUUGUUGCUUGUUUGUAACUCGUCUUAUACAAAGUCCACUGGCCUGUUUGUGGGUCUGAAACCCCAUCCCCCAAAACAUUGCCAUUUUUUUCAAAGUACAUUCAGAAAGAAGUUCUAGACUUGACUCUUUAGGGACAUGGUGGGGACUCAAAAAAUGCACUCAUUCAAUAGGCCCAGCAAACCGGACCUCUUGUGGCACAGAUCACCCCCUACAGACAGACCAAGAACACAGACAAUGCUCACAUUUUUAAGAAAUGAAAUGGGUUAGCCAGUUUACAAAACAAGACUGGGGCCUGAGGGUGGGGGGAGGGGGAGAGGGAAAGAGGAGACCUCGUUUAGGUUGUCAAGAAAAGAAGAUGACCUAACAUCAGCUUUGCCUCUUCCAGUGCCCAUAUCACGUGAGAUGGACCCCAUUGUUAUAACACACCUCAUUACCACCCCGCCCCACCUCUCAAAGGGCAGCGUGACUGUGGUGACAAGCUGGCCAAAAUGGCUUUUCACUGCCUCUCCCCUCAUCCUGCUACUUUCUUCCCCAGAGAGUCAUUGUGUGUGACCAUCUGGGCAGCCACGUCUUUGCUUUUGUUUGUCAAGUCCAUUUCAGUUGCCAGGUCUGAGGAAAUUCUGCAGUGGUAAGCAGCCCCUGAUUUGCCAAAGAUCCACCCUUUUUUUAACCAACGCUAGCCCUUGUUCUUUACACGCUCCAGCUCAAGCUGUUCAUCUAUCUGAUGAGUCCUACCAGCACAACCAGAGAGACCGCAGGUGGGUCUGCGUAUUAGCCGAGGCCUGUCACGCCACAUAACAUUAAGUCCACGUCCGCCCCAAGUCAGCCCCAGGGUCACUUUUUCUGAGAAGUAAUUAUAGAAAAGAACGAAACUCAUAUGACGUUUUAGCCUGAAAGUCAGGGAACUGCGGAUCUGGAGGGAAGGACGGCAGCUCACCAGUGGUCCUUUACCAGUUGCAGAAAUAGUGAAAAGCUGUGUCGCUGACCAGGGCUGUUGGGAAAGUGGUAGGCAGGUGCAAAAUUGCAGAAAUGGAGCACAAGGCAUUUUGCACGCCUUCUUGCAGACCUACUUUGCAGACCAGCAUUCAGGGGCUGCCUGACUGCAGGGCCCAGAUGUGCAGUGUGGUCUGGACAGGCAGCCUUUUCAGAUUUGCCACUUAGUCUUGAGGAGGUGGCCACUGUGGCAAGCACCCCCCUCCAUGGAUGGGGCGGAGCGAGGUGGGUGACCCUCCCUGAGGUGUAGCAGCUGGGGGUGAGUGCUGGUGAAGCCCACCUGUUGGAAACUGGAGCAGCCCAAAGCCUGAAGGGACCACAGGCCUCAUAAACUGGGAGACAGAAGGGAAACUGGAACCAAAUGCCGACUGUAAAUGUAUCUUAUAACUUAUUAAAUACAACAUUUGCUCCUCAA